This 301-nucleotide ribosomal RNA is filed under the name uncultured bacterium. Its description in RNAcentral is "partial 16S ribosomal RNA". It matches the Rfam family "Bacterial small subunit ribosomal RNA", at positions 509 to 807 of the family's 1533-position model. The record is from RNAcentral.
CAGUCGCCGCGGUAAAACGAAGGGUGCAAGCGUUAAUCGGAAUUACUGGGCGUAAAGCGUGCGUAGGCGGUUUGUUAAGUCUGUUGUGAAAUCCCCGGGCUCAACCUGGGAAUGGCAAUGGAUACUGGCAAGCUAGAGUGUGUCAGAGGAUGGUGGAAUUCCCGGUGUAGCGGUGAAAUGCGUAGAGAUCGGGAGGAACAUCAGUGGCGAAGGCGGCCAUCUGGGACAACACUGACGCUGAGGCACGAAAGCGUGGGGAGCAAACAGGAUUAGAUACCCGCGUAGUCCCUGUCUCUUAUAC